GCUGAAGACACACAUGCUGUGAGUGGUUGUAACUCCCAGAAUGGGGAUAUUGGAUAAAGGCUAGAUCCUACGUGUCAGAAGUUACAUCGUAUUGGUUGUGGAAGCCACCCGAAUAUUUUCUCUGCUUGAAGCAUGCUGUGGCCUUAGGAGACUCUCCAGAACUGGUGUCCUAAAAUAACAGCUUGAUCUCUACACUUCAUCUUGCUCAGGUCACAGGGCAGAUGAUGCUGUCGCUUGAAGCAUAACAGUGCUGGCAGUCUUUGUGUGAUCCUUGAGGCCCUGGAACGGCUGUGGGAUAUCUGCUGU
Clarias gariepinus (North African catfish) is the source of this 306-nucleotide long non-coding RNA. RefSeq lists it as uncharacterized. The record is from RefSeq and is a predicted model, not a curated record. The transcript has 3 exons. NCBI's taxonomy places the organism in Eukaryota, Metazoa, Chordata, Actinopteri, Siluriformes, Clariidae.